AGAACAAAAAAACGGUAAGAAGGCAAAACGAUUAGCAAGUAGCAUAAGUCCAAAGAAGAAACACCAAAUCUGAAUCGAGAAGCUCAGGGUAUGUGCAUCGGCGUAUGCAUCGACCGUCCUUCGUAAUUAAAGGAUUUAAUUUAAAUGUAUACGCAGGUUCAUUCUUUGCCAUUCCUUUGAUUCGGUGGUUUUCAAUCAAGAGAAAGAA
Molecule: non-coding RNA, 208 nt
Organism: Camelina sativa (false flax)
Lineage: Eukaryota; Viridiplantae; Streptophyta; Magnoliopsida; Brassicales; Brassicaceae
Source: RefSeq, a predicted model, not a curated record